GACGAACGCUGGCGGCGUGCUUAACACAUGCAAGUCGAGCGGUAAGGCCCUUUCGGGGGUACACGAGCGGCGAACGGGUGAGUAACACGUGGGUGACCUGCCUUUAGCUCUGGGAUAAGCCUGGGAAACGUGGGUCUAAUACCGGAUAUGACCCUAUGGCGCAUGUUGUGGGGUGGAAAGCCUUGUGCGGCUAGGGAUGGGCCCGCGGCCUAUCAGCUUGUUGGUGGGGUGAUGGCCUACCAAGGCGACGACGGGUAGCCGGCCUGAGAGGGCGACCGGCCACACUGGGACUGAGACACGGCCCCAGACUCCUACGGGAGGGCAGCAGUGGGGAAUCUUGCGCAAUGGGCGAAAGCCUGACGCAGCGACGCCGCGUGA
This 378-nucleotide ribosomal RNA is filed under the name uncultured bacterium. Its description in RNAcentral is "bacterial SSU rRNA". It matches the Rfam family "Bacterial small subunit ribosomal RNA", at positions 28 to 404 of the family's 1533-position model. The record is from RNAcentral.